RNAcentral lists this small RNA (296 nucleotides) under Ruminiclostridium cellobioparum subsp. termitidis CT1112. RNAcentral describes it as "[Clostridium] termitidis CT1112 5' ureB small RNA". It matches the Rfam family "5' ureB small RNA". The record is from Rfam by way of RNAcentral. Lineage: Bacteria; Bacillati; Bacillota; Clostridia; Eubacteriales; Oscillospiraceae.
CAGUUUCAAUCUGCUGGGGGCAUAUGAAAUGUAUAUGUGUAUCUAUUCCCCCUGCAGUUGCUAUAAGUCCCUCUCCGGCAAUGACCUCGGUGGAUGCUCCUAUUACAAGUCCGGGAGUCACCCCUUCCAUGAUAUCCGGAUUCCCCGACUUGCCUACCGCCACGAUCCUGCCGUCCUUUAUACCGAUAUCUCCCUUGACUAUGCCCCAGGAAUCUACUAUUACCGCAUUUGUUAUCAGCAUGUCCAGCGCCCCGCCGUCCCUUGAGACCGACGAGCUCUGACCCAUACCGUCCCUG